Molecule: long non-coding RNA, 434 nt
Filed under: Homo sapiens (human)
Lineage: Eukaryota; Metazoa; Chordata; Mammalia; Primates; Hominidae
Description: HSALNT0045616
Source: RNAcentral
CAGUUGAUAAACUGAAUCCUGAAGCUAUGGGGCUGAGGAGCACCAGGGGCUCACCAUCACUGCUAUUAUAUUGAAGAAAAUGUACUGGGCUUCCAUUCCCCACCCCUGCUCACUGUGAUAUGAAGGCACACAGAACAGAAUACUAUCUGGAUUCCUUUGGCAGAUGCUCAUUAUAUGCAUUUAGUGGGUGUUCUCUGAGUCAGACAACACUCCAAAGCAUAGGAAUCAAUAUGGUUAGAUGGCUGAGCCUCAUUUCUUUAUCCCGUGGCUCUGAACCCCGCUGCACAUCACAAUCAACUUCGAGUUUUUAAAAAUACCAGUGCCUGCCACCUUCUAAGAGAUUCUGCUGUUAUUGGUGACUCUGAUGUAUAGCUGAUGAAGUCUGGAUCCCAGUCUCACUGCUCCUUCUCUGGUAAUUAAUACCAACGACUUGG